Molecule: ribosomal RNA, 467 nt
Filed under: uncultured bacterium
Lineage: Bacteria
Description: bacterial SSU rRNA
Rfam family: Bacterial small subunit ribosomal RNA
Source: RNAcentral
CGCUGGCGGCAUGCCUUACACAUGCAAGUCGAACGGCAGCGCGGGGCAACCUGGCGGCGAGUGGCGAACGGGUGAGUAAUAUAUCGGAACGUACCCAAGAGUGGGGGAUAACGUAGCGAAAGUUACGCUAAUACCGCAUACGAUCUAAGGAUGAAAGCAGGGGACCGCAAGGCCUUGUGCUCCUGGAGCGGCCGAUAUCUGAUUAGCUAGUUGGUAGGGUAAAAGCCUACCAAGGCAUCGAUCAGUAGCUGGUCUGAGAGGACGACCAGCCACACUGGAACUGAGACACGGUCCAGACUCCUACGGGAGGCAGCAGUGGGGAAUUUUGGACAAUGGGCGCAAGCCUGAUCCAGCAAUGCCGCGUGAGUGAAGAAGGCCUUCGGGUUGUAAAGCUCUUUUGUCAGGGAAGAAAAGGUUGCGAAUAAUACUCGCAGCUCAUGACGGUACCUGAAGAAUAAGCACCGGCU